RNAcentral lists this ribosomal RNA (253 nucleotides) under uncultured bacterium. Its description in RNAcentral is "partial 16S ribosomal RNA". It matches the Rfam family "Bacterial small subunit ribosomal RNA", at positions 524 to 776 of the family's 1533-position model. The record is from RNAcentral.
UACGUAGGGUGCGAGCGUUAUUCGGAAUUACUGGGCGUAAAGGGCGCGCAGGCGGCGUCGCAAGUCAGGCGUGAAAUCCCCGGGCUUAACCUGGGAAUGGCGCUUGAAACUGCGAUGCUGGAGUAUGGCAGAGGGAGGUGGAAUUCCACGUGUAGCGGUGAAAUGCGUAGAGAUGUGGAGGAACACCGAUGGCGAAGGCAGCCUCCUGGGCCAAUACUGACGCUCAUGCACGAAAGCGUGGGGAGCAAACAGG